Molecule: ribosomal RNA, 253 nt
Filed under: uncultured bacterium
Lineage: Bacteria
Description: partial 16S ribosomal RNA
Rfam family: Bacterial small subunit ribosomal RNA
Source: RNAcentral
UACGUAGGGUGCGAGCGCUAAUCGGAAUUACUGGGCGUAAAGCGUGCGCAGGCGGUUCGUUAAGUCAGAUGUGAAAGCCCCGGGCUCAACCUGGGAACUGCAUUUGAAACUGGCGGGCUUGAGUAUGGCAGAGGGGGGUGGAAUUCCGCGUGUAGCAGUGAAAUGCGUAGAGAUGCGGAGGAACACCGAUGGCGAAGGCAGCCCCCUGGGCCAAUACUGACGCUCAGGCACGAAAGCGUGGGGAGCAAACAGG